GGCAAAAGGAGGAGGGGGGGGGAAGCCCUGUGGGGUGUGGGGGCUUCCGGAGGUGGUGAAAUGGGGGAGAACGCCCCGAAAAUGAGGGAGAGAGACAUCCCCCCCCACCCCCCCCCCGGUUCUCCAAGAGCGGUGGUUGGAGUUGGGGGGAAAUGGUUUAAAAAAGAGAGAGUGGUGGAUGAUGGAAGCGUGGGGAGAAAAGGGGUGGUGGGGGAUGUCAGAGGGUGGGGGCUGAUAGUGCUGUGAGGAGGGGAGAAAUGGGGAAUAAUGCCCUACUGGGGGGAAAGCUCUGGAUAUAGCGGGGCUUUCCUGAGGUGGAAAUGGGGUUAAAUGGGGGAAAAAAAAAAAAGAAUUGUGGUAUGAAGGAAAAUGAUUUGGUGGGGAACCCUCUGGGGAGUGGGGGACUCCAGAGGGGGAAAGUGGGGGGAGAAAUGGGGGAAAAUGCCCCCCCCCCCAAAAAAAAUGAGGGAGAGACACCCCGAUUAGCGGUGCUUUGAAUGGUCCAAAAAUGGGAGAAACGGUGGAAAAAAGAAAUGAUGAUAAUGUUAAAUAUAAGGGAGAGAGGUGGUGAGGAACCCCCUGGGAAUGGGGGCGUAUGGUGGGGGAAAUGCCCCAAAAAUGACGGAGGGAAACCCCUGGGGGUGGGGGCUUCUGUGGCUGAAAAUGGGGGGAAAACGGUCAAAAGAAAAAGAAAAAAGGGGGGGGGAGGGGUACACAAAAAUAACCAAAAGCACAGAGAGGUGGUGGGGAACCCCCCAGGAGUGGGGGCUGUGGUCAAAAAACGGGGGAAAAUGGUAAAAAAUGAAACUGCAGAAUUGAGGGCAGAGGUUGAUGGGAGGGGUCCUCCCGAUAGCAAAUGGGUGAAUUGACCAAAAGGAGCGAAAAUGCACCCAAAAAGGUUCAGUGGGGGCACAUGGAGCUGUGCGAAGUGGUAAGAGCCCCCCAAAAAUGGGGAGAAAAAGGUGUUUUUAGGGACAGACACCAACGUUGGGUGUGAAGGUGAUGCGUGGCACAGCCGCGGUGGUAAAAAACACGAUGGAAAAUAAGGAGGAAUGGAGGAAAAAAGGAGAAGAAUGGGAUAGGAGUUGGGAAGGGGAAGUGGGAGGAAAUGGGAAGGAAGAAAGGAGGUGGGAAAAAAUGAGGAAACGUGAGAAAAAUAUAUUAAAAAAAUGAGGAAAUAGGAGGGAAGAUGAGGAAGGGAAGAGGAAACUGAGAGGGAAAGAGGAAGGAAGAAGGAAAAUAGGGAGAGGAAGGGAAGGGGAAAUGGGGAGAAAGGAAGAGGAAAAGGAGGGGAAAGAGGAAAUGGAGAGGGAGAAAGAGGAAGGAAGAGGCGAGGGAGGGGAAGGGAAAGGGGAAAUGGAG
This 1362-nucleotide long non-coding RNA is filed under the name Gallus gallus (chicken). RNAcentral describes it as "lncRNA (ENSGALG00010000696.1)". Lineage: Eukaryota; Metazoa; Chordata; Aves; Galliformes; Phasianidae. The record is from RNAcentral.